GAUGAACGCUAGCGGCAGGCUUAACACAUGCAAGUUGAGGGGCAGCAUGAACAAUAGCAAUAUUGUUUGAUGGCGACCAGCGCACGGGUGCGUAACACGUAUGCAAUCUACCUUAUACUGGGGCAUAACUCCGAGAAAUCGGUGCUAAUUCCCCAUAACACUACAGAGUGGCAUCACUCCAUAGUUAAAGUUCCGGCGUAUAAGANGAGCAUGCGUCCAAUUAGCUAGUUGGU
This 233-nucleotide ribosomal RNA is filed under the name uncultured bacterium. Its description in RNAcentral is "partial 16S ribosomal RNA". It matches the Rfam family "Bacterial small subunit ribosomal RNA", at positions 28 to 253 of the family's 1533-position model. The record is from RNAcentral.